This 253-nucleotide ribosomal RNA is filed under the name uncultured bacterium. RNAcentral describes it as "partial 16S ribosomal RNA". It matches the Rfam family "Bacterial small subunit ribosomal RNA", at positions 524 to 776 of the family's 1533-position model. The record is from RNAcentral.
UACAGAGGUCUCAAGCGUUGUUCGGAUUCAUUGGGCGUAAAGGGCGCGUAGGCGGCGGGGUAAGUCGGGUGUGAAAUCUCAGGGCUCAACCCUGAAACUGCACUCGAUACUGCUCUGCUUGAGGACUGGAGAGGAGACUGGAAUUUACGGUGUAGCGGUGAAAUGCGUAGAUAUCGUAAGGAAGACCAGUGGCGAAGGCGGGUCUCUGGACAGUUCCUGACGCUGAGGCACGAAGGCCAGGGGAGCAAACGGG